CUGGCAUUUCGCAAGCCUGAUCCAGCCUGCCANGUGNGUGAUGAAGGCCUUAGGGUCGUAAAGCUCUUUCGCCAGGGAUGAUAAUGACAGUACCUGGUAAAGAAACCCCGGCUAACUCCGUGCCAGCAGCCGCGGUAAUACGGAGGGGGUUAGCGUUGUUCGGAAUUACUGGGCGUAAAGCGCGCGUAGGCGGAUCAGAAAGUUGGGGGUGAAAUCCCGGGGCUCAACCCCGGAACUGCCUCCAAAACUCCUGGUCUUGAGUUCGAGAGAGGUGAGUGGAAUUCCGAGUGUAGAGGUGAAAUUCGUAGAUAUUCGGAGGAACACCAGUGGCGAAGGCGGCUCACUGGCUCGAUACUGACGCUGAGGUGCGAAAGUGUGGGGAGCAAACAGGAUUAGAUACCCUGGUAGUCCACACCGUAAACGAUGAAUGCCAGUCGUCAGCAAGCAUGCUUGUUGGUGACACACCUAACGGAUUAAGCAUUCCGCCUGGGGAGUACGGUCGCAAGAUUAAAACUCAAAGGAAUUGACGGGGGCCCGCACAAGCGGUGGAGCAUGUGUGGUUUAAUUCGAAGCAACGCGCAGAACCUUACCAACCCUUACAUCUGUAGU
RNAcentral lists this ribosomal RNA (609 nucleotides) under alpha proteobacterium UST020129-036. RNAcentral's name for it is "bacterial SSU rRNA". It matches the Rfam family "Bacterial small subunit ribosomal RNA", at positions 365 to 993 of the family's 1533-position model. Lineage: Bacteria; Pseudomonadati; Pseudomonadota; Alphaproteobacteria. The record is from RNAcentral.